RNAcentral lists this ribosomal RNA (253 nucleotides) under uncultured bacterium. RNAcentral describes it as "partial 16S ribosomal RNA". It matches the Rfam family "Bacterial small subunit ribosomal RNA", at positions 524 to 776 of the family's 1533-position model. The record is from RNAcentral.
UACGUAGGGGGCAAGCGUUGUCCGGAAUCAUUGGGCGUAAAGCGCGCGUAGGCGGCCCUGUAAGUCCGUUGUGAAAGUCAAAGGCUCAACCUUUGAAAGCCGAUGGAUACUGCAGGGCUAGAGUCCGGAAGAGGCGAGUGGAAUUCCUGGUGUAGCGGUGAAAUGCGCAGAUAUCAGGAGGAACACCGGUGGCGAAGGCGGGUCUCUGGGCCGAUACUGACGCUGAGGAGCGAAAGCGUGGGGAGCAAACAGG